Long non-coding RNA from Helicoverpa zea (corn earworm), 256 nucleotides. RefSeq lists it as uncharacterized. The transcript has 3 exons. Lineage: Eukaryota; Metazoa; Arthropoda; Insecta; Lepidoptera; Noctuidae. The record is from RefSeq and is a predicted model, not a curated record.
UCCCUCAACACCGACACCUCCGACACCACGCCCAGUAAUGCGACGUCGUCCCGACGCAGGUCGCGCACGCGCGGCGUGCUGGUGCAGGCGCUCGUGCAUCAACAUCCCAAGAGCAGCGGCAGCGGCUCGUCGUCGUAGGCGCCGCGCGUUACGUGCACCGCCAACGUUACCGCACUUUACAUUCAUUCUUAUUACUUAUUUUUUAUAAUGCCUUUUAGUUUUUUUUAUCAUUAAUACAUAAUGUGUUCACAUGGAA